This 229-nucleotide ribosomal RNA is filed under the name Enterobacter hormaechei. Its description in RNAcentral is "partial 16S ribosomal RNA". It matches the Rfam family "Bacterial small subunit ribosomal RNA", at positions 199 to 430 of the family's 1533-position model. Lineage: Bacteria; Pseudomonadati; Pseudomonadota; Gammaproteobacteria; Enterobacterales; Enterobacteriaceae. The record is from RNAcentral. RNAcentral also lists the same sequence under 2 other names.
ACCUUCGGGCCUCUUGCCAUCGGAUGUGCCCAGAUGGGAUUAGCUAGUAGGUGGGGUAACGGCUCACCUAGGCGACGAUCCCUAGCUGGUCUGAGAGGAUGACCAGCCACACUGGAACUGAGACACGGUCCAGACUCCUACGGGAGGCAGCAGUGGGGAAUAUUGCACAAUGGGCGCAAGCCUGAUGCAGCCAUGCCGCGUGUAUGAAGAAGGCCUUCGGGUUGUAAAG